GAUGAACGCUGGCGGCGUGCCUAACACAUGCAAGUCGAGCGAACGGACGAGGCUUUUGCUUGGCUGAUGUUAGGGGCGGACGGGUGAGGAACACGUGUAUACCCUACCUAUAAGACUGGGAUCACUUCGGGAAAGCUGAUCUAACAUCGGAUAAUAUUGUGAACGGCAGGGUUCAUAAGUGAAAGAGGUUUCUGCUGAGACUUGGACAUGGAACCUAGCUGCAUUAGUUAGUUGGUAAGGUAACGGCCUACCAAGGCAACGAUGCGUAGCCGAUCUGAGAGGGUGAUCGGCCACACUGGAACUGAGACACGGUCCAGACUCCUACGGGAGGCAGCAGUGGGGAAUCUUGGGCAAUGGGCGAAAGCCUGACGGAGCAACGCCGCGUGUGUGAUGAAGGUCUUCGGAUCGUAAAGCUCUGUUAUUAGGGAGGAACAUAUGUGUAAGUAACUGUGGAUGUCUUGACGGUACCUAAUGAGAAAGCCCCGGCUAACUACGUG
Molecule: ribosomal RNA, 497 nt
Filed under: uncultured bacterium
Lineage: Bacteria
Description: partial 16S ribosomal RNA
Rfam family: Bacterial small subunit ribosomal RNA
Source: RNAcentral